Molecule: ribosomal RNA, 252 nt
Filed under: uncultured bacterium
Lineage: Bacteria
Description: partial small subunit ribosomal RNA
Rfam family: Bacterial small subunit ribosomal RNA
Source: RNAcentral
AGGACGAACGCUGGCGGCGUGCUUAACACAUGCAAGUCGAGCGGAAAGGCCCUUCGGGGUACUCGAGCGGCGAACGGGUGAGUAACACGUGAGCAAUCUGCCCUUAGCUUCGGGAUAGCUCCGGGAAACCGGAAUUAAUACCGGAUAUGACUAUGGCUGACAUCAGCCACGGUGGAAAGUUUUCGGCUAGGGAUGAGCUCGCGGCCUAUCAGCUAGUUGGUGGGGUAACGCCUACCAAGGCGACGACGGGUA